RNAcentral lists this transfer RNA (73 nucleotides) under Chlamydiales bacterium. RNAcentral's name for it is "tRNA-Thr". It matches the Rfam family "tRNA". Rfam says of the family: Transfer RNA (tRNA) molecules are approximately 80 nucleotides in length. Their secondary structure includes four short double-helical elements and three loops (D, anti-codon, and T loops). Further hydrogen bonds mediate the characteristic L-shaped molecular structure. tRNAs have two regions of fundamental functional importance: the anti-codon, which is responsible for specific mRNA codon recognition, and the 3' end, to which the tRNAs corresponding amino acid is attached (by aminoacyl-tRNA synthetases). tRNAs cope with the degeneracy of the genetic code in two manners: having more than one tRNA (with a specific anti-codon) for a particular amino acid; and 'wobble' base-pairing, i.e. permitting non-standard base-pairing at the 3rd anti-codon position. The record is from RNAcentral. Lineage: Bacteria; Pseudomonadati; Chlamydiota; Chlamydiia; Chlamydiales.
GCCUGAAUAGCUCAGUUGGUAGAGCAGCGCAUUCGUAAUGCGAAGGUCGCGGGUUCGAUUCCUGUUUCAGGCA